GAUGAACGCUGGCGGCGUGCCUAAUACAUGCAAGUCGAGCGAACAGACGAGGAGCUUGCUCCUUCGACGUUAGCGGCGGACGGGUGAGUAACACGUAGGUAACCUACCUAUAAGACUGGGAUAACUUCGGGAAACCGGAGCUAAUACCGGAUAAUAUUUCGAACCGCAUGGUUCGAUAGUGAAAGACGGCUUUGCUAUCACUUAUAGAUGGACCUGCGCCGUAUUAGCUAGUUGGUAAGGUAACGGCUUACCAAGGCAACGAUACGUAGCCGACCUGAGAGGGUGAUCGGCCACACUGGAACUGAGACACGGUCCAGACUCCUACGGGAGGCAGCAGUAGGGAAUCUGCCGCAAUGGGCGAAAGCCUGACGGAGCAACGCCGCGUGAGUGAUGAAGGUCUUCGGAUCGUAAAACUCUGUUAUUAGGGAAGAACAAACGUGUAAGUAACUGUGCACGUCUUGACGGUACCUAAUCAGAAAGCCACGGCUAACUACGUG
RNAcentral lists this ribosomal RNA (497 nucleotides) under uncultured bacterium. RNAcentral's name for it is "partial 16S ribosomal RNA". It matches the Rfam family "Bacterial small subunit ribosomal RNA", at positions 28 to 507 of the family's 1533-position model. The record is from RNAcentral.